Molecule: ribosomal RNA, 2938 nt
Filed under: Priestia megaterium
Lineage: Bacteria; Bacillati; Bacillota; Bacilli; Caryophanales; Bacillaceae
Description: 23S ribosomal RNA
Rfam family: Bacterial large subunit ribosomal RNA
Source: RNAcentral
AUGGUUAAGUUAGAAAGGGCGCACGGUGAAUGCCUUGGCACUAGGAGCCGAUGAAGGACGGGACUAACACCGAUAUGCUUCGGGGAGCUGUAAGUGAGCUUUGAUCCGGAGAUUUCCGAAUGGGGAAACCCACUGUUCGUAAUGGAACAGUAUCUUUAUCUGAAUACAUAGGAUAUUGAAGGCAGACCCGGGGAACUGAAACAUCUAAGUACCCGGAGGAAGAGAAAGCAAAUGCGAUUUCCUGAGUAGCGGCGAGCGAAACGGAAUUAGCCCAAACCAAGAGGCUUGCCUCUUGGGGUUGUAGGACACUCUAUACGGAGUUACAAAGGAACGAAGUAAAUGAAGCGACCUGGAAAGGUCCGUCGAAGAAGGUAACAACCCUGUAGUUGAAACUUCGUUCCCUCUUGAGUGGAUCCUGAGUACGGCGGAACACGUGAAAUUCCGUCGGAAGCUGGGAGGACCAUCUCCCAAGGCUAAAUACUACCUAGUGACCGAUAGUGAACCAGUACCGUGAGGGAAAGGUGAAAAGCACCCCGGAAGGGGAGUGAAAGAGAUCCUGAAACCGUGUGCCUACAAGUAGUCAGAGCCCGUUAAUGGGUGAUGGCGUGCCUUUGUAGAAUGAACCGGCGAGUUACGAUCCCAUGCAAGGUUAAGCUGAUAAGGCGGAGCCGUAGCGAAAGCGAGUCUGAAUAGGGCGUUUAGUAUGUGGUUGUAGACCCGAAACCAGGUGAUCUACCCAUGUCCAGGGUGAAGUUCAGGUAACACUGAAUGGAGGCCCGAACCCACGCACGUUGAAAAGUGCGGGGAUGAGGUGUGGGUAGCGGAGAAAUUCCAAUCGAACCUGGAGAUAGCUGGUUCUCUCCGAAAUAGCUUUAGGGCUAGCCUCAUGUUGUGAGAGUCUUGGAGGUAGAGCACUGAUUGGACUAGGGGCCCCCAACGGGUUACCGAAUUCAGUCAAACUCCGAAUGCCAAAGACUUAUCCAUGGGAGUCAGACUGCGAGUGAUAAGAUCCGUAGUCAAAAGGGAAACAGCCCAGACCACCAGCUAAGGUCCCCAAGUAUACGUUAAGUGGAAAAGGAUGUGGAGUUGCUUAGACAACCAGGAUGUUGGCUUAGAAGCAGCCACCAUUUAAAGAGUGCGUAAUAGCUCACUGGUCGAGUGACUCUGCGCCGAAAAUGUACCGGGGCUAAACGUAUCACCGAAGCUGUGGAUUGACAUCUUUGAUGUCAGUGGUAGGAGAGCGUUCUAAGUGCUGUGAAGUCAGACCGUAAGGACUGGUGGAGCGCUUAGAAGUGAGAAUGCCGGUAUGAGUAGCGAAAGACAAGUGAGAAUCUUGUCCACCGAAUGCCUAAGGUUUCCUGAGGAAGGCUCGUCCGCUCAGGGUUAGUCGGGACCUAAGCCGAGGCUGAAAAGCGUAGGCGAUGGCCAACAGGUUGAUAUUCCUGUACCACCUCCCCGCCGUUUGAGUAAUGGGGGGACGCAGUAGGAUAGGGUAAGCGCGCUGCUGGAUAUGCGCGUUCAAGCAGUUAGGCUGAUGAGUAGGCAAAUCCGCUCAUCAUAAAGGCUGAGCUGUGAUGACGAGGGAAUUAUAGUACCGAAGUUCCUGAUUCCACACUGCCAAGAAAAGCCUCUAGCGAGGCGGGAGGUGCCCGUACCGCAAACCGACACAGGUAGGCGAGGAGAGAAUCCUAAGGUGAUCGAGAGAACUCUCGUUAAGGAACUCGGCAAAAUGACCCCGUAACUUCGGGAGAAGGGGUGCUCUGGUAGGGUGUAUAGCCCGAGAGAGCCGCAGUGAAUAGGCCCAGGCGACUGUUUAGCAAAAACACAGGUCUCUGCGAAGCCGCAAGGCGAAGUAUAGGGGCUGACGCCUGCCCGGUGCUGGAAGGUUAAGAGGAGGGGUUAUCCUUUGGGAGAAGCUCUGAAUCGAAGCCCCAGUAAACGGCGGCCGUAACUAUAACGGUCCUAAGGUAGCGAAAUUCCUUGUCGGGUAAGUUCCGACCCGCACGAAAGGCGUAACGAUCUGGGCACUGUCUCAACGAGAGACUCGGUGAAAUUAUAGUACCUGUGAAGAUGCAGGUUACCCGCGACAGGACGGAAAGACCCCGUGGAGCUUUACUGUAGCCUGAUAUUGAAUUUUGGUACAGCUUGUACAGGAUAGGUAGGAGCCUGAGAAGCCGGAGCGCUAGCUUCGGUGGAGGCGUCGGUGGGAUACUACCCUGGCUGUAUUGAAAUUCUAACCCGCGGCCCUGAUCGGGCCGGGAGACAGUGUCAGGUGGGCAGUUUGACUGGGGCGGUCGCCUCCUAAAAUGUAACGGAGGCGCCCAAAGGUUCCCUCAGAAUGGUUGGAAAUCAUUCGUAGAGUGUAAAGGCACAAGGGAGCUUGACUGCGAGACCUACAAGUCGAGCAGGGACGAAAGUCGGGCUUAGUGAUCCGGUGGUUCCGCAUGGAAGGGCCAUCGCUCAACGGAUAAAAGCUACCCCGGGGAUAACAGGCUUAUCUCCCCCAAGAGUCCACAUCGACGGGGAGGUUUGGCACCUCGAUGUCGGCUCAUCGCAUCCUGGGGCUGUAGUCGGUCCCAAGGGUUGGGCUGUUCGCCCAUUAAAGCGGUACGCGAGCUGGGUUCAGAACGUCGUGAGACAGUUCGGUCCCUAUCCGUCGUGGGCGUAGGAAAUUUGAGAGGAGCUGUCCUUAGUACGAGAGGAAUGGGAUGGACACACCGCUGGUGUACCAGUUGUCUUGCCAAAGGCAUCGCUGGGUAGCUAUGUGUGGACGGGAUAAGUGCUGAAAGCAUCUAAGCAUGAAGCCCCCCUCAAGAUGAGAUUUCCCAUAGCGCAAGCUAGUAAGAUCCCUGAAAGAUGAUCAGGUUGAUAGGUCAGAGGUGGAAGCGUGGCGACAUGUGUAGCUGACUGAUACUAAUCGAUCGAGGACUUAACCAAA